Pelobates cultripes (western spadefoot toad) is the source of this 82-nucleotide non-coding RNA. The record is from the annotation of a GenBank genome assembly. Lineage: Eukaryota; Metazoa; Chordata; Amphibia; Anura; Pelobatidae.
ACAAGCUUUCGGGAGAACCUCCCUUUCUUAAGUCUGAAGAAAUGCUUCAGACUUGAGAAAGGGAGGUUCUCUUGAAAGCUUG